RNAcentral lists this non-coding RNA (24 nucleotides) under Arabidopsis thaliana (thale cress). Lineage: Eukaryota; Viridiplantae; Streptophyta; Magnoliopsida; Brassicales; Brassicaceae. The record is from RNAcentral.
CAGAAUCAUCUUCCAUUGUGCUGA